RNAcentral lists this ribosomal RNA (305 nucleotides) under uncultured bacterium. RNAcentral describes it as "bacterial SSU rRNA". It matches the Rfam family "Bacterial small subunit ribosomal RNA", at positions 334 to 636 of the family's 1533-position model. The record is from RNAcentral.
UUGUCCUACGGGGCGCAGCAGUGAGGAAUAUUGGUCAAUGGGCGGUAGCCUGAACCAGCCAAGUAGCGUGAAGGAUGAAGGUUCUACGGAUUGUAAACUUCUUUUAUAAAGGAAUAAAGUGAGGCACGUGUGCCUUUUCGUAUGUACUUUAUGAAUAAGGAUCGGCUAACUCCGUGCCAGCAGCCGCGGUAAUACGGAGGAUCCGAGAGCUAUCCGGAUUUAUUGGGUUUAAAGGGAGCGUAGAUGGGGUGUUAAGUCAGUUGUGAAAGUUUGCGGCUCAACCGUAAAAUUGCAAUUGAUACUGG